Molecule: ribosomal RNA, 501 nt
Filed under: uncultured bacterium
Lineage: Bacteria
Description: partial 16S ribosomal RNA
Rfam family: Bacterial small subunit ribosomal RNA
Source: RNAcentral
GAUGAACGCUAGCGGCAGGCCUAACACAUGCAAGUCGAGGGGCAGCACAGAAACAGCAAUGUUUUGGUGGCGACCGGCGGACGGGUGCGUAACGCGUAUGCAACCUACCUUUAACAGGGGGAUAACGGAGAGAAAUUUCCACUAAUACCCCAUAACAUCGAUCAAGGCAUCUUGAUUGGUUGAAAACUCCGGUGGUUAAAGAUGGGCAUGCGUUGUAUUAGGUAGUUGGUGAGGUAAUGGCUCACCAAGCCUACGAUACAUAGGGGGGCUGAGGGGUAAGCCCCCACACUGGUACUGAGACACGGACCAGACUCCUACGGGAGGCAGCAGUGAGGAAUAUUGGUCAAUGGGGGCAACCCUGAACCAGCCAUGCCGCGUGCAGGAAGACGGCUCCAUGAGUUGUAAACUGCUUUUAAACAGGGAUAAAGCACAGUAUGUAUACUGUGUUGAAGGUACUGUAAGAAUAAGGAUCGGCUAACUCCGUGCCAGCAGCCGCCGUAA